CCAAUAGCGUAUAUUAAAGUUGCUGCAGUUAAAAAGCUCGUAGUUGAAUUUCGGGACCAUCAUGUCGGUCGUGCCUCGGUACGUACUGGCAUUGUUGGUUUCUACCUUCUGACGAACCAUGAUGUCAUUUAUUUGGUGUCGUGGGAAAUCAGGACUGUUACUUUGAAAAAAUUAGAGUGUUUAAAGCAGGCUCACGCUUGAAUACAUUAGCAUGGAAUAGUGAAAUAGGACGUUUGAUUCUAUUUUGUUGGUUUCUAGGAUCGACGUAAUGAUUAAUAGGGAUAGUUGGGGGCAUUAGUAUUCAAUUGUCAGAGGUGAAAUUCUUGGAUUUAUUGAAGACUAACUACUGCGAAAGCAUUUGCCAAGGAUGUUUUCAUUAAUCAAGAACGAAAGUUAGGGGAUCGAAGACGAUCAGAUACCGUCGUAGUCUUAACCAUAAACUAUGCCGACUAGGGAUCGGAUGAUGUUAAUUUUUUAAUGACUCAUUCGGCGCCUUACG
Molecule: ribosomal RNA, 499 nt
Filed under: uncultured Glomeromycotina
Lineage: Eukaryota; Fungi; Glomeromycota
Description: partial small subunit ribosomal RNA
Rfam family: Eukaryotic small subunit ribosomal RNA
Source: RNAcentral